AUGAGAUGCUGGAACCGUCUAGUCAAAGAGCUUCCACCGGCGAAAAGGAAAACUAGUGCCGAGGCAGCUGCUACAACCCGGCGAAGACAGAGUACUGCCGAGGAAGCUUCGACCGGCGUCACAAAAAGCAUCAACCACGACGACAUAUGCCUGGGCUGGCUACUGCCAAUACCAAAAAAGCUACAACUGCAUUGCAAAGAGCUACAACCGACGUCACAAAAAGCUCCAACCACGGUAAUGGAUGCUAGGCCUGGCCACUGCCACAUGAAAAAGCUGCAAGGGACGAGGAAGAAAACUACAACCGGUGUCGCAAAAAGCUACAACCAACGACAACGGAAAGCUAUGGCUGGGCGUCGACGAAAGCUGCAAGCGUCCAUAAGAAAGCUUCAACCGGUGAACGAGGGAGCUACAUCCACGCCCUGGGGAUGCUAG
Molecule: ribosomal RNA, 432 nt
Filed under: Triticum aestivum (bread wheat)
Lineage: Eukaryota; Viridiplantae; Streptophyta; Magnoliopsida; Poales; Poaceae
Description: partial small subunit ribosomal RNA
Source: RNAcentral